Molecule: ribosomal RNA, 890 nt
Filed under: uncultured bacterium
Lineage: Bacteria
Description: bacterial SSU rRNA
Rfam family: Bacterial small subunit ribosomal RNA
Source: RNAcentral
GCUAGCGAUAGGCCUAACACAUGCAAGUCGAGGGGCAGCAUAGGGUAGCAAUACUUUGAUGGCGACCGGCGCACGGGUGAGUAACGCGUAUGCAACCUACCUAUAACAGGGGAAUAAGCCCGGAGAAAUUCGGACUAAUACCGCAUAAAACAGGGGCUCCGCAUGGUGAUAUUUGUUAAAGAUUUAUCGGUUAUAGAUGGGCAUGCGUUCCAUUAGCCAGUUGGUGAGGUAACGGCUCACCAAAGCAACGAUGGAUAGGGGUUCUGAGAGGUUUGUCCCCCACACUGGAACUGAGACACGGACCAGACUCCUACGGGAGGCAGCAGUGAGGAAUAUUGGUCAAUGGGCGAGAGCCUGAACCAGCCAAAUCGCGUGAAGGAAGACUGCCUUAUGGGUUGUAAACUUCUUUUAUACAGGAAUAAAAAGAUUACGUGUAACUUAUUGCAAGUACAGUACGAAUAAGCAUCGGCUAACUCCGUGCCAGCAGCCGCGGUAAUACGGAGGAUGCGAGCGUUAUCCGGAUUUAUUGGGUUUAAAGGGUGCGCAGGCGGGAACUUAAGUCAGCGGUGAAAUCUCGACGCUUAACGUCGAAACUGCCGUUGAAACUGGGUUUCUUGAGUAUAGAUGAAGUAGGCGGAAUUCGUUGUGUAGCGGUGACAUGCUUAGAUAUAACGAGGAACUCCGAUUGCGUAGGCAGCUUACUAAGCUAUAACUGACGCUGAAGCACGAAAGCGUGGGGAUCAAACAGGAUUAGAUACCCUGGUAGUCCACGCCGUAAACGAUGAUUACUAGUUGUAUGCGAUAUACCGUAUGUGACUAAGCGAAAGCGAUAAGUAAUCCACCUGGGGAGUACGCCGGCAACGGUGAAACUCAAAGGAAUUGACGGGGGC